CACGUAGGGGCCAAGCGUUGUCCGGAUUUAUGGGCGUAAAGAGCUCGUAGGCGGUUUGUCGCGUCUGCUGUGAAAACCCGAGGCUCAACCUCGGGCCUGCAGUGGGUACGGGCAGACUAGAGUGCGGUAGGGGAGAUUGGAAUUCCUGGUGUAGCGGUGGAAUGCGCAGAUAUCAGGAGGAACACCAAUGGCGAAGGCAGAUCUCUGGGCCGUAACUGACGCUGAGGAGCGAAAGCAUGGGGAGCGAACAGG
RNAcentral lists this ribosomal RNA (252 nucleotides) under uncultured bacterium. Its description in RNAcentral is "partial 16S ribosomal RNA". It matches the Rfam family "Bacterial small subunit ribosomal RNA", at positions 524 to 776 of the family's 1533-position model. The record is from RNAcentral.